CAGCCACUCAUUCAAAGAGUGCGUAAUAGCUCACUGGUCGAGUGAUCCUGCGCCGAAGAUUUCCGGGGCUAAAACUUACUACCGAAGCUACGGCAUCAGUAAUGAGGGGUAGGUGGGCUUCCCAUACGGGUUGAAGCAUGACCGAAAGGACAUGUGGACAGUAUGGGAGUGAGAAUGUUGGCAUGAGUAGCGAGAUGUGGGUGAGAAUCCCACAGGCCGUAAACCCAAGGUUU
This 233-nucleotide ribosomal RNA is filed under the name Clostridioides difficile. RNAcentral's name for it is "partial 23S ribosomal RNA". It matches the Rfam family "Bacterial large subunit ribosomal RNA", at positions 1113 to 1353 of the family's 2925-position model. Lineage: Bacteria; Bacillati; Bacillota; Clostridia; Peptostreptococcales; Peptostreptococcaceae. The record is from RNAcentral.